Araneus ventricosus is the source of this 73-nucleotide non-coding RNA. The record is from the annotation of a GenBank genome assembly. NCBI's taxonomy places the organism in Eukaryota, Metazoa, Arthropoda, Arachnida, Araneae, Araneidae.
GCCCGAGUAGCUCUGUCGGUAGAGCACCAAACUCUUAAUCUCGGGAUCGUGAGUUCGGUCCCCAUGUUGGGCG